AGAGCGAACGCUGGCGGCAGGCCUAACACAUGCAAGUCGAGCGCGUGUAGCAAUACACGAGCGGCAGACGGGAGAGUAACACGUGAGAACGCGCCCUUUGGUUCGGAAUAACUCAGGGAAACUUGAGCUAAUACCGGAUAAGCCCUUACGGGGAAAGAUUUAUCGCCAAAGGAACGGCCCGCGUCCGAUUAGCUAGUUGGUGAGGUAACGGCUCACCAAGGCGACGAUCGGUAGCUGGUCUAAGAGGAUGAUCAGCCUCACUGGGACUGAGACACGGCCCAGACUCCUACGGGAGGCAGCAGUGGGGAAUAUUGGACAAUGGGCGCAAGCCUGAUCCAGCCAUGCCGCGUGGAUGAUGAAGGCCUUAGGGUUGUAAAGUCCUUUUAACGGGGAAGAUAAUGACGGUACCCGUAGAAUAAGCCCGGCUAACUUCGUGCCAGCAGCCGC
RNAcentral lists this ribosomal RNA (447 nucleotides) under uncultured bacterium. Its description in RNAcentral is "SSU rRNA". It matches the Rfam family "Bacterial small subunit ribosomal RNA", at positions 26 to 518 of the family's 1533-position model. The record is from RNAcentral.